Molecule: long non-coding RNA, 218 nt
Filed under: Vigna radiata
Lineage: Eukaryota; Viridiplantae; Streptophyta; Magnoliopsida; Fabales; Fabaceae
Description: long non-coding RNA (VRAD_LNC009600)
Source: RNAcentral
ACGGGGCAAGGGACCCACAGAGAAAGAGAAGGCGACAAGGACCAUCGAAGUGGGGUCCACCUGACUCAUGGUCUUGCUGGCACUUCUAUUCACCUGUCCUUGUCUUCCGGACCCACAACAGCUGCCCGUACAUCACGGUCAGCCACUACCCUCCUGCCCCUUGCACGUGCACCUUUCUUCACAUCCCAACCUACACAACAGAAUCAUUGCAAAUUGCC